Heterocephalus glaber (naked mole-rat) is the source of this 80-nucleotide small nucleolar RNA. The record is from Ensembl. Lineage: Eukaryota; Metazoa; Chordata; Mammalia; Rodentia; Bathyergidae.
GAUCAAGGAUGAAAAUAGCCAAAUGUGAGCAUCAGAAGACCUCCCAGUCUCCCUGAUGCAUGGUCUCUAUAGUUCUGGGA